CUACGGGGUGCAGCAGUGAGGAAUAUUGCACAAUGGGGGGAACCCUGAUGCAGCAACGCCGCGUGGAGGAUGACGCAUUUCGGUGUGUAAACUCCUUUUAUAUGUCAAGAAAAUGACGGUAGCAUAUGAAUAAGCACCGGCUAACUCCGUGCCAGCAGCCGCGGUAAUACGGAGGGUGCAAGCGUUACUCGGAAUCACUGGGAGUAAAGGACGCGUAGGCGGGUUGGAAAGUCAGGUGUGAAAUCCUACAGCUUAACUGUAGAACUGCACUUGAAACUUCUAAUCUAGAGUAUGGGAGGGGGAGAUGGAAUUAGUGGUGUAGGGGUAAAAUCCGUAGAUAUCACUAGGAAUACCGAGAGCGAAGGCGAUCUCCUGGAACAUUACUGACGCUAAGGCGUGAAAGCGUGGGGAGCAAACAGGAUUAGAUACCCUCGUAGUC
This 439-nucleotide ribosomal RNA is filed under the name uncultured bacterium. RNAcentral's name for it is "partial 16S ribosomal RNA". It matches the Rfam family "Bacterial small subunit ribosomal RNA", at positions 339 to 795 of the family's 1533-position model. The record is from RNAcentral.